UACGUAGGUCCCGAGCGUUGUCCGGAUUUAUUGGGCGUAAAGCGAGCGCAGGUGGUUUAUUAAGUCUGGUGUAAAAGGCAGUGGCUCAACCAUUGUAUGCAUUGGAAACUGGUAGACUUGAGUGCAGGAGAGGAGAGUGGAAUUCCAUGUGUAGCGGUGAAAUGCGUAGAUAUAUGGAGGAACACCGGUGGCGAAAGCGGCUCUCUGGCCUGUAACUGACACUGAGGCUCGAAAGCGUGGGGAUCAAACAGG
This 252-nucleotide ribosomal RNA is filed under the name uncultured bacterium. RNAcentral's name for it is "partial 16S ribosomal RNA". It matches the Rfam family "Bacterial small subunit ribosomal RNA", at positions 524 to 776 of the family's 1533-position model. The record is from RNAcentral.